GAUGAACGCUAGCGGCAGGCCUAAUACAUGCAAGUCGAACGAUAGUGAAAAGCUUGCUUCUCACGAAAGUGGCGCACGGGUGCGUAACGCGUAUGCAACCUACCUUAAUCAGGGGGAUAGCCCGAAGAAAUUCGGAUUAACACCGCAUAAAAUCACAGUAUAGCAUUAUACAAUGAUCAAAUAUUUAUAGGAUUAAGAUGGGCAUGCGUGACAUUAGUUAGUUGGCGGGGUAACGGCCCACCAAGACCACGAUGUCUAGGGGAUCUGAGAGGAUGACCACCCACACUGGUACUGAGACACGGACCAGACUCCUACGGGAGGCAGCAGUAAGGAAUAUUGGGCAAUGGAGGCAACUCUGAACCAGCCAUGCCGCGUGCAGGAAGACAGCCCUCUGGGUCGUAAACUGCUUUUAUUCGGGAAUAAACCUAUCUACGUGUAGAUAGCUGAAUGUACCGAAGGAAUAAGGAUCGGCUAACUCCGUGCCAGCCGCCGCAGUAA
This 498-nucleotide ribosomal RNA is filed under the name uncultured bacterium. RNAcentral describes it as "partial 16S ribosomal RNA". It matches the Rfam family "Bacterial small subunit ribosomal RNA", at positions 28 to 523 of the family's 1533-position model. The record is from RNAcentral.